AACAACCUGGCGGCGUGCUUAACACAUGCAAGUCGAGUGCGCGUGCCGUAGCAAUACGGUAUGGCGCACGGCGCACGGGUGCGUAACACGUGGGCAAUCUGCCCUCCGGUGGGGAAUAACCCCGCGAAAGCGGGGCUAAUUCCGCAUAACAUUCCCUGGACUUCGGUUCGGGGAUUCAAAGCAGCAAUGCGCCGGAGGAGGAGCCCGCGCCCGAUUAGCUAGUUGGUGAGGUAACGGCUCACCAAGGCAAUGAUCGGUAGCUGGUCUGAGAGGAUGGCCAGCCACACUGGAACUGAGACACGGUCCAGACUCCUACGGGAGGCAGCAGUGGGGAAUCUUGCGCAAUGGGCGAAAGCCUGACGCAGCGACGCCGCGUGGGGGAUGAAGCUUUUCGGAGUGUAAACCCCUUUCGACCGGGACGAAUGCCCGCAAGGGAGUGACGGUACCGGUAGAAGAAGCCCCGGCUAACUACGUGCCAGCAGCCGCGGUAAGACGUAAGGGGCCAGCGUUGUUCGGAAUUACUGGGUGUAAAGGGUUCGUAGGCGGUGUGGCAAGUCGGGAGUGAAAUCUCUUGGGCUUAACCAAAGGCUGCUUCCGAAACUGCUGUGCUAAANUGCGGGAAAAGCCC
RNAcentral lists this ribosomal RNA (628 nucleotides) under uncultured bacterium. RNAcentral describes it as "bacterial SSU rRNA". It matches the Rfam family "Bacterial small subunit ribosomal RNA", at positions 28 to 660 of the family's 1533-position model. The record is from RNAcentral.